ACCUGUGCACCCUCUGUAGUUCUAUGGUCUGGGGGGCCCUGCCUCCCUUCCGUGGUUCUGCAUCUUUACACACACUGUAAUAAAGUCUUAUGGAAUGUAUGCCGCGUUUAACGCAAUACAAUACAACUUUCAGCAACGGAUCUCUUGGCUCUCGCAUCGAUGAAGAACGCAGCGAAAUGCGAUAAGUAAUGUGAAUUGCAGAAUUCAGUGAAUCAUCGAAUCUUUGAACGCACCUUGCGCCCUUUGGCUAUUCCAAAGGGCAUGCCUGUUUGAGUAUCAUGAACACCUCAACUCUCACGGUCUGCCGUGAAGAGCUUGGACUUUGGGGGCUUUGCUGGCCUAUGGUCGGCUCCUCUCAAAUGAAUCAGCUUGCCAGUGUUUGGUGGCGUCACAGGUGUGAUAACUAUCUACGCUUGUGAUCGUCCACCGGGUAACCUUCAGCAAUGGAGGUUCGCUGGGGCUCAUAGACGUCUCUCCUCAGCGAGGACACCUUUUAAAAGUUCGAUCUCAAAUCAGGUAGGAUUACCCGCUGAACUUAAGCAUAUCAAUA
Molecule: ribosomal RNA, 550 nt
Filed under: Thelephoraceae sp. YM1138
Lineage: Eukaryota; Fungi; Basidiomycota; Agaricomycetes; Thelephorales; Thelephoraceae
Description: eukaryotic LSU rRNA
Rfam family: 5.8S ribosomal RNA (bases 125-279)
Source: RNAcentral